GGCUAGAGUACAUGAGGUGAUGUUCCAGUACUUUGAGGACAAAGACAUCCAGAAGGACAAAUCGGGUUUGAUGCAGUGUGUGAUCUGUGUUGCUGAUAGAAUCUUCAAUGUCUUCCUCAAAAUUAUGGCUGAAAAGAAACCACAAACAGUAUUUGCCAAAAUCAUAACUGGAGCUGGACAUCUUUCAAGCUGAAGAUUGAGGCCAGAUUUUGUAUGCUAGCGUACACUCCUUAACAGUUUUACUGGAUGAAAACACAGCAAGAAAACAAAGAUGCAGACUUUGCAGUGCCUCCGUGUGCGACUACCUUGAGCAGCAGUUUGAGGSACUUCGAUGGGAUAAUACCGUGCAGUGAGGCGUAGGGGAUUGUCCGCAGCAGGGCGACCCCCAAUGGAUGGGCGCUGAGGGGUGUGGUGCUCCUCCAGCAGCUCUCUCAUGAGGUUCUCUCUAUACUUUUGGCAAUCCACCUUUCCUGUGGCCGACUUGGUUGCUGUAUGGACAGUGGAGAGGACACUGACGUCUCGUUUGUCAUGCCACUUUACUGCCAGUGGUUGACCGUUCUCCUUGAACUCCAGCCACCCCUCUUCUGCAUCCGAAUGCCGGCAUCCCCUUCCUGUGCUGUUGGAGAGCAGAUGCUGGAAGAGUGUGAGACUGCUGUACAAACUGUCUACAUACAAAGUGUGUCCCUUGCUGAGAUGAGGAGCCAGCAUGGUCAUCACCGUGGACCCGGACACCCCAAGCCCCUCAUAAUGUUGAAUGUCAGUGGUGGACCCUGUAUAGACUAUAAUGUCCUGGACAAAUCCUGUCUUCACGUCACACAUAACAAAGAACUUGACCCCAAACCUGUGCCUUUUGGAGGAAAUAUAUUGACGGAACGCCAGCCUACCCUUCCAUAACAUCAGGGACUUUUCUUAUUUUGUGUGAUGGGUCAUUUAGGUAGGCAGUAGCAUUGGUGACGAAAUGCAGGCAUCGCAGCAGAAAAGAUGGUGGCAAAGAAGGGUGUUGCAAACAUAGGAUCUGUGAUCCAGUAUUCUCUUAGGGAGUUCUUUACUAUCCCCAUGAGAAAGAC
Molecule: RNA transcript, 1067 nt
Organism: Salvelinus sp. IW2-2015
Lineage: Eukaryota; Metazoa; Chordata; Actinopteri; Salmoniformes; Salmonidae
Gene name: piggyBac transposable element-derived protein 4-like
Source: RefSeq, a predicted model, not a curated record